RNAcentral lists this ribosomal RNA (250 nucleotides) under uncultured bacterium. RNAcentral describes it as "partial 16S ribosomal RNA". It matches the Rfam family "Bacterial small subunit ribosomal RNA", at positions 524 to 773 of the family's 1533-position model. The record is from RNAcentral.
UACGGAGGAUCCAAGCGUUAUCCGGAAUCAUUGGGUUUAAAGGGUCCGUAGGCGGUUUGAUAAGUCAGUGGUGAAAGCCCAUCGCUCAACGAUGGAACGGCCAUUGAUACUGUCAGACUUGAAUAACUGGGAAGUAACUAGAAUAUGUAGUGUAGCGGUGAAAUGCUUAGAUAUUACAUGGAAUACCAAUUGCGAAGGCAGGUUACUAUCAGUUUAUUGACGCUGAUGGACGAAAGCGUGGGGAGCGAAC